RNAcentral lists this ribosomal RNA (460 nucleotides) under uncultured bacterium. Its description in RNAcentral is "partial 16S ribosomal RNA". It matches the Rfam family "Bacterial small subunit ribosomal RNA", at positions 338 to 795 of the family's 1533-position model. The record is from RNAcentral.
CCUACGGGCGGCAGCAGUGAGGAAUAUUGGUCAAUGGACGAGCGUCUGAACCAGCCAAGUAGCGUGAAGGAUGACUGCCCUAUGGGUUGUAAACUUCUUUUAUAUGGGAAUAAAAUGUUCCACGUGUGGGAUUUUGUAUGUACCAUAUGAAUAAGGAUCGGCUAACUACGUGCCAGCAGCCGCGGUAAUUCGGGGGAUCCGCGCGUUAUCCGGAUUUAUUUGGGUUAAAGGGAGCGUAGGUGGAUUGUUCAGUCAAUUGUGAAAGUUUGGGGCUCAACCGUAAAAUUGCAGUUGAAACUGGCAGUCUUGAGUACAGUAGAGGUAGGCGGAAGUCGUGGUGUAGCGGUGAAAUGCUUAGAUAUCACGAAGAACUCCGAGUGCGAAGGCAGCUCACUGGACUGCAACUGACACUGAGGCUCGAAAGUGUGGGUAUCAAACAGGAUUAGAUACCCGAGUAGUC